RNAcentral lists this long non-coding RNA (1945 nucleotides) under Amphibalanus amphitrite. RNAcentral describes it as "uncharacterized LOC122387522, transcript variant X1". Lineage: Eukaryota; Metazoa; Arthropoda; Thecostraca; Balanomorpha; Balanidae. The record is from RNAcentral.
GCGGUCGCCAUGGUGGCAUCGGGGACUCGGCUGGCAUCGUUAGCACAGAAGAUCCUCAGUCAUAGUUAACAAAAUGGAAAAAAAUUAGCUGUGUUUUUAAGAUUCCAGUGGUGGCCAUCAACUGCUCAGGAAAGCAGCCCAGAAUCACUUCACAACAGGUUUCCAAAGGAUCAUCAUUCAUCAGCACAGAAGGGUGGGAAAGAGAAGGCUGUUCAAAUUCUGAAAAGCCAGAGCUGCAAAGGAGGUCAAAGAUGCAGUGCAGUUGGCCCACUCAGUAGAGUUUCACUAGUGGUUCUGAUGUGGACUGAAGAUUACACGCUGGAUUGAAGUGGCCGGUCUGGAGCAGCUGUAGUUCAUCAUUCUUGCUGAUUGUGGACGAGUAAGAGCCCGUGUUGGCCCCGAUCGGCGAUCGCUGGCCAAAGCCCACCACCAGUUUGGUGAUAGGCGUUGGCUGUGAUAUCUAGUGUCGCCUAUGUGUGAAAAGGACAAGUUGAUAACAAAACCUGUUGCGCCAUGUUAUUAACCCGCGCCCGGGUGGCCCUCAGCCAACUUGGGGGGGGGGGAGUUGUAUUCGGCCACACCAGGUUAUCUUGGAAUGUAGCAGAGCUGGAAAGACGCAGUAAAAUCAAUCUAUAGACCGCUAUUUUUCUUCAGAAUCAUACAGGUCAUUUUUGAUCAGGUCAUCGCUGAGGUCACUGGAGGUCACCAAAAGUAAAAUGAUGACGAAUUUUGGCCCCCGAUUUUGACAACUUCACAAAUUGGUUCAUAAUUCGGGAACCAAAGAAGCUGCAGCGCCGCGGAAAAGCGAAUUCGAUAGCUCUUUCGAAAAUCUUUCAGGUUCUCAGAUUUGAGCUAAGGUCAACUAGGGUUAAGCCUCCAAAGGGCAAAAACUGAACAAUCGGCUUGCUUCGGAAGUCGUCUUUUCUUUAAAAAUUUUUUAAACUGAUACCAACCUUUUAUUACGUUGAUUUUACCGGCACUGCGUUUCUCUCGUCUUCUUGGCCUAACAAGGUCAGCUUAAUAAAUUUGACCUCAGGUCAAUGUCGCAGAAAAUGCCAUUUUGCAUGUCAUUGAUUCGUUACAUUGAAAUUGAGAUUAACAUCAGUAGCGGCGGAACACCUUCAAUUAAGGGGGCAUUGCCGACUUUUGGUCUCAUUCUUUCCAUGCAACGGCCAUAGGGCUAAUGUUAAAAUGCCAAAAUCAAAGGGGGCACGGUGCCUCGGUGCCCUCGGCCUGUUCCGCCGCCUAUGAUUAUGAUGCUUUUAGCGCUCUGGCCACGUUCCAUCUAAAAUCGAUGUACAAAAAUAAACUGUUGGGAGGCGUUACAUGACCUGAGAUGACCUCAGGAGCAUACGAUAGAUCCCGAUGUUUGAGUGCUUUUGUUUCAAAAGCAGAACAUUUCGAUUUCGAGUUCCUCAUACUGACUGAAACUGGAGACGUCGCAAAGUUGACCUGACCCUAGGUCACCACCGAUAUCAAAAUUAAAGAUAUUCAAGAUGUUGGUACUGAUUCUCUCAUGCAAUAGCUCGAGUUUCAAACUUCUACUUCAUGGUGACCUGACCUGACCUUAGGUGACAUGGGGUUACUUUUUUCACAAUUGAUGCGAAUCGAUGCAUUAUACAUAAGCUAUACUAAGUUUCGUGUCGUUUUAUCUAUGCAAGCACAAAAUUGUCAGGUGUGGCCAAAAACGCCCCCACGGCCCACCCACCUGGGGAACGUUAAAGCAGUGAUGUAUUUUUUUUUUUCGAUGUAUUCCACGAUGCAUCGAUCGGUGUACUUGAUAAUGCAUUAUUUAUUGCUGCGUGUGUACGCUUUUCCUCUGUUCAGUGUGAUCUGUGAUAGGAAAACUACCGAUAUAUCUCCACGCGCAUGACUGAAAGAGCUGGCGUGAUCUAUAAUAUUGGGUGUCUGUUUUUGUUUGGCAUUUUAUAAAUAAUGAGUCAGC